UUAAAAGUAAUGAUGGAACAAAGUAAGGUAUAUACCGCCUAAAGAGAGUAUCGGUUAUUGAGCUGUGAGCCGAUACGGUAAGGAUUUAUUUGAAAUUUCAUUCCGGAGCUGCAUAGGUGAAAGCGGUUUGCAAGUAGUCUGUGACGGGUAGUGCCGUUAUACAUAAUUGAGUGCCGAUAUUUUAUCGGAAGUCGGGUGGUACCGCGGAGUUUGAAUUUACACACUUCGUCCCUUAU
Molecule: non-coding RNA, 236 nt
Filed under: Bacillota bacterium
Lineage: Bacteria; Bacillati; Bacillota
Description: Firmicutes bacterium T-box sequence
Rfam family: T-box leader
About the family: Uncharged tRNA acts as the effector for transcription antitermination of genes in the T-box leader family.
Source: RNAcentral